Molecule: unclassified non-coding RNA, 1880 nt
Filed under: Hevea brasiliensis (rubber tree)
Lineage: Eukaryota; Viridiplantae; Streptophyta; Magnoliopsida; Malpighiales; Euphorbiaceae
Source: RNAcentral
UAUCAUUCAUGAGAAAGUGAGUACAAGUCGUCUUGAGUUAGCAGAUACAUGAGAUGAGGAGAGGGAUUUAAAGUCCACCUUAUUACAACAUUACUAGUUCUGACAUUAACUGCUAGUCAAUCAGCACAUUUGUUUGCUGAUCUAGGAAUAGAUUUGAUAGUUAAACCUUGAGUAACUCUCAGCAAAUUCUUAACUUCAUGAAUGAUAGCCUCUAGAGCACAAGGGACGGGAGCUAGAGGAUGGUCAAAAAACUGACAAAGCUGCAUUGAAUCUGUUUCAAUAAUGCAAGGCAAGAAGCCUCUGUUAAUAACGAAAUAAACAGCUGCUCUUAUUCUCUUAAUGCAAUACCUUCAGCCACCAAUGGGGAAAUAUAUUUAAAGGCUGCUGAACAUCCAUCUAUUAAGGCACUUUCAGCAUUUCUGACUAAGCAUCCACAAGAAGCGGCAUCCGACUUGCUAUUAUAAGAGGCAUCCGUAUUAACCUUGUUGACACCCACUGGUGGAAGACUCCACAAAGCCAAAUCCAGACGAGACGCAUAAAUAGACGCAUAAAUAGAAACUAAGGGAGAAUGUUGUUGUGGAGGGGCGAUGGCUUGCACUACCCCAAUAGCAUUCUGGGCCUUGCGCAGAGAAAGCAAAGGAUUUGGCUGAAUGGCAUUAAACACAAAAUUAUUCCUUGCUUUCCAAAGCUGCCAUGAUAAGUGAGCAGCUAACUGAAGUUCCAUCUGGUCAUGGGAGGAAUUGAUUAACAUAAUGUAAUUUAUCCAAUCAGCAUAAGACCCGAAACCUUCCUCCCGAGGGUAAAACCCCAAAGAUGAUCCAUACCAGGACGCCUUUGCAUGAGGGCAGAAGAAAAAAAGGUGCUCUAAUGAUUCCUCCUUGUUGCCACAGACUUGACAGCAUGGGUUUGGGGUACACCUUCGCUUGAACAAAUUUACAUUGGUAGCCACAGAAUUAUUUGCUGCUCACCACACAAAGUUUUAAAUCUUAGGAGGAAACUGAAGUGACCAAAUUUUUUUCCAAAAAGAAGAUGGAAUUUAUGUGGAAGUUGAAGUAGAUCGCAUGGGCUCUGUUGAAAUUUGGGCUUUCUUCGACAAAUAAUACACAGAUUUAACAUUCGGAACUCCAAAUCCAAAGAAAUGCCAAAUCAUAUCAGGUUCUGCAAAGACAUCUGCAAUUGGAAUUUUCAUAAUUUCUCUGCAUUACAAAGGUGAGAAAGAAGCAUGUAAAACAUAAGGAUCCUAAUGCUUGGAUAUUGGAUUAAUCAAAUCUGCAACAUAAAUCACGGGGCUAUCUGGCGGUCUUGUGCAUCCGACUCUGAAAUCUUGUAAAGUGGGCACCCAUGGAUCAUUCCAAGCAUUCACAAAUGAAGGGCCUUUAAUAUUCCAUCUUAAUCCAGGUUUCAGCGCUUAUCUUCCACAAAUAAUACUUCUCCAACCCCAUGAAUUGUGGUUAUCUCGACGAGCUUCAAGAAAAUUGGAAAAGGAAAAUAAAUUCCUUUUAGGAUGCGGCCCCAUAAAGACUGAGGGUUCUUUAGCAGUCUCCAAGCCUGCUUUGCCAAGAAAGCAAUAUUAAAUAUCUCCAAGUCCUUAAAACCAAUCCCACCCUCACUUUUAGACCAGGAAAGCUUGCCGCCACCCAAAUUUAGAGAUAAGUUGAUGAAUUUCAUUGAUGAGGCUACUUGGAAGCUUGCACACCAACAUAAUGUAGGCCGGAAUGGCCUGGAAUACUGAUUUGACUAAAAUCUCUUUCCCUGCUUGAGAGAGGCAUUUACUUGUCCAUCCUUUGAGCUAAUUAACCACCCUUUCCUUAAGAAAAAACAGCGCCUCGUAUUUGGAUCCACACCAAGGAACUGGAAGACCCAGAUAUUUAGAUAAGGAA